UGUUCGUCAGUCGAGGGUUAGUCGGUCCUAAGACGUACCGUAAUUCGAGUACGCCGAAAGGGAAACAGGUUAAUAUUCCUGUACCUGUAUCAAACAAUCCUGACGCUUUCGGAUAGGCAUUGCGGAGCCAUCGCUCCGUCUAAGCUGGAUAUGAAAUUGGAGUACCGUAAUGGUGAGAAUUUUUCAAAACGGUGAUGGGGUAACAAUGCUGAUUCCAGGAGCCCGUGAAAAGGGUGAUACGGUCCGUACCGAGAACUGACACAGGUGCCCCUCGCUGAGAAGGCGAAGGCGUGUCGGGAGUAAAUGUGUUAAGGGAACUCGGCAAAUUAGCCCUGUAACUUUGGGAUAAGGGGUGCCUGCCCAGCGAUUGGGCAGGUCGCAGUGACAAGAUCGCUCCGACUGUCUAAUAACAACAUAGCAGACUGCAACUCCGAAAGGACUCGUAUAGUCUGUGAUUCAUGCCCAGUGCGAGUAUCUGAACACCGGGUUCAACCGGACGAAGGACUCGUAAACGGCGGGGGUAACAAUGACCCUCUUAAGGUAGCGUAGUACCUUGUCGCUUAAUUGGCGACUUGCAUGAAUGGAAUAACGAGAGCGAUACUGUCCCUAACACAUACCCGUUGAACCUUCUGUACUAGUGCAGAGACUAGUGACUCCUUAUGGGAAGUGAAGACCCCGUGGAGCUUUACUGCAGCCUGUCGUUGGGUUACGGUAUUACCUGCGCAGGGUAGAUGGGAGACGUCGAUCCAACCCUUGUGGGGGUUGGUUAGUCAACGAUGAGACACCAUCCUGGUUUUAUUGUAAUUCUAACUGAUUUAUCAGGACAUCGAUAGGUAGGCAGUUUGGGUGGGGCGCCACACCCUCGAAAAAAUAUCAAGGGUGCCCUAAGGUCAACUCAAGCGGGUCAGAAACCCGCUGAAGAGUGUCAAGAGCAAAAGUUGGCCUGACGCGAUUUCGCAUAGCAAGAAAUCGCGAGAGGAAACUCGGGUCUAACGAACCAAUACGCCCUGUUGAUGAGGGCUAUUGACUACAGAAAAGCUACCCCGGGGAUAACAGAGUCGUCGCCGGCAAGAGCACAUAUCGACCCGGCGGCUUGCUACCUCGAUGUCGGUUCUUUCCAUCCUGGCUGUGCAGCAGCAGCCAAGGGUGAGGUUGUUCGCCUAUUAAAGGGGAUCGUGAGCUGGGUUUAGACCGUCGUGAGACAGGUCGGUUACUAUCUAUAAGGAGCGUUGGAAGUCUGAAGGCAAGAAUGAAAUAGUACGAGAGGAACUUUCAUUCGGCGCCACUGGUCUACCGGUUGUCUGACAAGGCACCGCCGGGCAGCUACGCGCCAAGAGAUAAAAGCUGAAAGCAUCUAAGCUUGAAACUCAGCCUGAACAAGAGACUUCAUUAAAGACACGGGUAAAAGACCCGGUUGAUAGGUUCGGGAUGUACGCACGAAGGCAACGACGUGUUCAGUCCGCGAAUACUC
RNAcentral lists this ribosomal RNA (1471 nucleotides) under metagenome. RNAcentral's name for it is "bacterial LSU rRNA". It matches the Rfam family "Archaeal large subunit ribosomal RNA", at positions 1451 to 2966 of the family's 2987-position model. The record is from RNAcentral.